This 231-nucleotide ribosomal RNA is filed under the name uncultured bacterium. Its description in RNAcentral is "partial 16S ribosomal RNA". It matches the Rfam family "Bacterial small subunit ribosomal RNA", at positions 99 to 334 of the family's 1533-position model. The record is from RNAcentral.
CGGACGGGUGAGUAAUGUAUAGGAACUUGCCUAGUAGUGGGGGACAACGCGCGGAAACGCACGCUAAUACCGCAUACGCUCUACGGAGGAAAGGCGGGGCUCUCGGACCUCGUGCUACUAGAUAGGCCUAUAUUGGAUUAGCUAGUUGGUAAGGUAAAGGCUUACCAAGGCGACGAUCCAUAGCUGGUUUGAGAGAAUGAUCAGCCACACUGGGACUGAGACACGGCCCAG